GCAAAGCCCAACGGCAGAGAUGAAUGCCUUGUCCGCUGUACAGAAGCACUGCAGUUAUAUGACAAGGCGUGUGGAUGCAAAUGCUUUUAUAGGUCUGCUGUUGCCCUGGAGGUGCUGUCAGUGGAGUCUAAGAUUUGGUUCCCUUGUUUGUCAAUAUUCAUCAAUCAGAAUUCUUGAGCAUCUGUCACGGUGAGGCACUGUGCUAAGCACUCAGCAUAAAUUGACUGAAGAAAACAGACACAGUCCCUGCCUUCCCUGAGUGUGCAUUCUAGUGGGAGCAACAGACCUUAAAUGAGACCUUUCUAAAAUUGAGUAUAAAAGGAACUAAUGAGAUAGAAACUCAGAAGGACAAAGACAACAGGUGAUGAGAGAGAGAAUUGUGACUGCAAAGAGUGAACAUAUUUUUGGAAGAUAAAAAGUGGAAGGAGGAGUGAGCAAAAGUAAGAAUGCUGUAUACCAAGUGUGAGCAAACUGGAUGCCAAUGUCAAAGGAGCCAAGUCACAGCAUCUAACCCCCCUAGUCCAGGCAAGUGUUCCUCCUCACCCUGCCAGGAUGCCAGAAUCUUACUAUUCUGUGGAGAAGUUGAACUGGAGUGGCUCCACAACCAGGAUGCCGGCCCCAGAAGAAGUGGAGGAACACGCAUGCUCGCAGAAGCCAUUACAAUCCCGUCGUGCAGCAGCCUGUGCUAUUGACCAGCCUAGAAGUCAUUUUUCGACUCAAGGGGAGAAGGGUGGGUUUCUGCUCUUUCCUUGCACCAUCUGAAGGACACGGCAGAAGAUAAAGGAAAAUGGCCAUGAGAUGCUCCAGCGGAGCUGGGUCCAAGGCCUGGCGCUCACCAAAGAUUGCACUACUCUCAGCAUGGUACAGGAAGACAACUGAUGGGACAAUGCAAGCUGGGACAAUCUCCAACCCAAAGGGUAUCUCAGAAAACAGCACUAGGUGAGACCACAGCACAACCCCAGUCAACCUUUAAAUCAGAAAAGGAGCUGGAGGAUGCAAUUCAUUGAUGUAUAGAAAGUUUUAAAAAGUAAAAACUGAAAUACAGAAAACAAAGUUUGCAAUGUGUAAGAAAUAAAGGACUGAAAUUUGUACCUACAA
Homo sapiens (human) is the source of this 1098-nucleotide long non-coding RNA. The record is from Ensembl. Lineage: Eukaryota; Metazoa; Chordata; Mammalia; Primates; Hominidae.